GGAUAUAGCUUAGUUGGUAGAGUGCUUGCAUUGCAUGCAGAAGGCCCUGGGUUUGAUCUCCAGCACCA
RNAcentral lists this transfer RNA (68 nucleotides) under Marmota monax (woodchuck). Its description in RNAcentral is "tRNA.Ala". Lineage: Eukaryota; Metazoa; Chordata; Mammalia; Rodentia; Sciuridae. The record is from RNAcentral.